GACGAACGCUGGCGGCGUGCUUAACACAUGCAAGUCGAACGGAAAGGCCCCCUUGUGGGGUACUCGAGGGGCGAACGGGAGCGUAACACGUGCGUAACCUACCCUUGACUUUGGGAUAACUUCAGGAAACUGGGGCUAAUACCGGAUAGGAGCUCCUGCUGCAUGGUGGGGGUUGGAAAGUUUCGGCGGUUGGGGAUGGACUCGCGGCUUAUCAGCUUGUUGGUGGGGUAGCGGCACACCAAGGCGUUGACGGGUAGCCGGCCUGAGAGGGGGACCGGCCACUGUGGGACUGAGAUACGGCCCACACUCCUACGGGGUGCAGCAGUGGGGAAUAUUGCACAAUGGGUGGAAGCCUGAUGCAGCAUCGCCGCGGGCGGGAUGACGGCCUUCGGGUUGUAAACCGCUUUCGCCUGUGACGAAGCGUGAGUGACGGUAAUGGGUAAAGAAGCACCGGCUAACUACGUG
Molecule: ribosomal RNA, 465 nt
Filed under: uncultured bacterium
Lineage: Bacteria
Description: partial 16S ribosomal RNA
Rfam family: Bacterial small subunit ribosomal RNA
Source: RNAcentral